UUCAUUCAUUCAUUCAUCC
RNAcentral lists this non-coding RNA (19 nucleotides) under Mus musculus (house mouse). The record is from RNAcentral. Lineage: Eukaryota; Metazoa; Chordata; Mammalia; Rodentia; Muridae.